GUCAUGUCAGUAAGAUGUUGAAUAGGAAUGGUAAAAGGAGAUGUCAUUGCUUCAUUCUCAAUAUUAAAGGCAGAGAGUCUCUCACAGUGAUGAGUUUAUUGUAGCUGUUUGCGUUGUCUCCCUCCCACAGCAAACCUUCAUGGCAUCUCCAGCUCUGAUUCCAGGCCCUGGAAGCUCUUGAUCUAGGACCAUGAUACAGCCUCGCCAAAGCUUGGACUUGAGUAGAUGCUGUCGACGGCUACAUGCUCAGAUCACUCUCCUAGGGAGGAAUAAAGGCACAUGGAAGGCUGACCUUCUUGAGAGCCGGAAAUCAUCUCCCUGGAAAUCAUCUUUGCAUUUUAAUAGUUACUUAUGCAUUGGUGACUUAACCUUUCGUUAGCUCAGAAAAAAUAAAUGGUGUGAGGGUGAGGAAAGCAUGCUCAAAGAAUCACAGCAACAAGUUUCUCUACCUGUGUCUCUCCUCUUUGAUCCACCCCUUCUCCAUUAGCCAGAUUCUGAAAUACAGUGCCAAAUACAUAAGCAGUCAAUGGAAAUCCAGCACUUCUGAAGAGUGACCAAGAUGAAUGGAUGUCCAGGCCUUCCUUUGACAUUGCAUUCCAUUCUCUGCCUUUAAUUCUACUUUUCCUCUGUGUAAGGUGAUACAUAUUUAUGUCAACAAAUUGCCAUGUAUUUCUGUUUCCAAAGAUGUGUCAUUUGUCUUUCUACUGCUUAUGAUCCAACUGAUAUCUACACACCAAGAGGAGGAUAAUUUAUCAUAAAAAUAAAGAAUGAAAAUAAUUCCAAGCAGGACUUCAGGUCCAAUGACUAAAGACAGGGUUCCUUUAAAUGUCUUUGAAUAGCCUUUGUGGACUGAAGCCUAACAGUACAACAGUUUCAAUUUUGAUGACAGACUUUGAAGUAAAGCAACAAUUAACUGGCAAAAUAUUUUGGAACACAUCCUGAGCAAAAACAUGAACUUUGGUUUCUUGAAAGAAAGGUUAAGAAAGUAGAUAGUUUAAGUAAAUUCUUUUGUUAAAAAUGACCAUUUC
Manis pentadactyla (Chinese pangolin) is the source of this 1028-nucleotide long non-coding RNA. RefSeq lists it as uncharacterized. Lineage: Eukaryota; Metazoa; Chordata; Mammalia; Pholidota; Manidae. The transcript is spliced from 4 exons. The record is from RefSeq and is a predicted model, not a curated record.